ACUGUUGUGCCGGCCAGAAAUUGGUUCCUUAUUAUGUCCUUUUUAUGAUCCAUAAAUAAGUUAAAAUGGUCUCAAAUGUUAUAUUGUUAUUAUUUAUUGUUGUUAAGAUAUUUCGUUAUUCACACCCCUGUUAAAUCCCAUCUGGUUUCAUUGUAAGUAUCCGUUUGUUUACAUCUGGUGUUAAAGUACAUUUCUGGAAUGUCACCGGAAAUUGAUUGUUUACAUGUCGUUUAUGCAUGUUGAAGGGACUCCAAAAUUAGUAGUUUACGCUUGUUAUGCAAUAAUUAUGACUUGAUGUUGUAGAAAUCAUAGAAUUGUGUACUUCUAUAUUGUUUAAUUACUUAUUCAUGUGAAUAUUUACUCUCAUAUUGUAGUUUUUAGUCUACUUUCACUUUUAACUUGCGGUUCAGAAUGUCCAUUUUUUGUCGGGACACGAACCACUUCCAUUGGGAAUUUCACUUACUUUAUAUUAUGUCACGACUUUUAUCCUGCAUUACUAACUUUGUAAUACAUUUAUUUAUCCAUCUAGUUAGGUGUGAAUCCUUUGUGAAGUCUGAAUUAUCUGUAAUAUUGUGCAUAAGUGCCCGGAGGAUACGUAGAACCACCAUCUUUGCGCAAACGAGCACGUUUGCCCGGAGAUCGCAAACCGAAUUAUUUGAUUGGUUAAUAUUAUUCUAUAUAUAAAGCGACGUCAGCGUACUCGUGACGUCAUUCUUCUCAGUUCACUUUCUUGAGACACGUUCAUUUUUAGUCGC
Molecule: long non-coding RNA, 755 nt
Filed under: Mytilus galloprovincialis (Mediterranean mussel)
Lineage: Eukaryota; Metazoa; Mollusca; Bivalvia; Mytilida; Mytilidae
Source: RNAcentral